RNAcentral lists this ribosomal RNA (253 nucleotides) under uncultured bacterium. Its description in RNAcentral is "partial 16S ribosomal RNA". It matches the Rfam family "Bacterial small subunit ribosomal RNA", at positions 524 to 776 of the family's 1533-position model. The record is from RNAcentral.
UACAGAGGGUGCGAGCGUUAAUCGGAAUUACUGGGCGUAAAGCGCACGUAGGCGGAUUUGUUAGUCAGGGGUGAAAUCCCGGGGCUCAACCUCGGAACUGCCUUUGAUACUGCAAGUCUCGAGUCCGAUAGAGGUGGGUGGAAUUCCUAGUGUAGAGGUGAAAUUCGUAGAUAUUAGGAAGAACACCGGUGGCGAAGGCGGCCCACUGGAUCGGUACUGACGCUGAGGUGCGAAAGCGUGGGGAGCAAACAGG